This 801-nucleotide long non-coding RNA is filed under the name Olea europaea subsp. europaea. The record is from RNAcentral. Lineage: Eukaryota; Viridiplantae; Streptophyta; Magnoliopsida; Lamiales; Oleaceae.
GUAAAGAAAAAACAAGUCACUUCCAUAAUUAAUGCUUUAUAUACCUUGUAGUGACCUUUGGAAAAAACUCACGGGCAAGUGAAAGGACGGGUCUAAAGAAGUAUUGAAUUCACGUUCCAGAAGCUUUUUCUGGGAUUUAAAUGGCUGAAAAUGGCCGUUGCCUGAAGGGCCUUUUACGAUGACUACCGGAGAUUGCUAGGCAUGAAGUUUGCUUCGACGGUCGUUGUCCAUUUCCAGUUGAACCAUUUUAUCGAGCAAUUUGUAUACAACCACCCUUGUCCAAUUUUAUUUUUUUUUAAUAGAAAAAUCAAGUUGAAUAAUGGUAAAGAUGGAAACAUAAUUGCAGUUAUCUUGAAGACCCGCUGGCGUGUUCUUGAGCUUUCACGGGUUUCUUUAGUUCUUCCUCUCCUUUGAUUUUUUCUUGGCUUUUUUUGCUUUAUUUUUCCCUUUCAAUGGACAGUAGAGAACUUGAUGAAAUAUUGGUUUCAGCUGCCUUCUAAAUACCAGAGCUUCCUGUAGCCUUUUCAUGGUGGGUUUAUUUAGCCCUUUUGCCGGAAAGCUCCUUCUUUCAAGGAAAUUUUUCACGCUACCUUCCAGUAGCUAUUUUCUAUUUUGGUAGUUGCAAUCUUCUUUGAAAAAAAAUGUUGCUGCCUCCUCUCUUUAGGUAGAACACUAAUCGAAAUUUUUUCAAUUUCCAUUGACCUUUUGGUACGUGGUAUAAUAUGGUUAACGUACCGUUUCUCAUGGACGGUGCCAAUCUGUUGACCUCCAAAAAUGGUUCCAACUGAUUCCCUAGUCUCG